This 422-nucleotide unclassified non-coding RNA is filed under the name Hevea brasiliensis (rubber tree). The record is from RNAcentral. Lineage: Eukaryota; Viridiplantae; Streptophyta; Magnoliopsida; Malpighiales; Euphorbiaceae.
AGGCUGUACACUUCUCAUUCAACAUAGCAAGGAUUUUUACUGUCAAUGUUGAAUUAAGAGUAGAGAUCCUUAGGAGCAGAGCACAGCACCUGAGCCCCAUUUUCCUAUAAUCUAGUUUGUUUUCAGAUCUGCAAUGCAUUAGAAUGCUUCGGUUGUUCUCCUAAUAGCAGUAUUCAUGCCUGAACUCUUACUUUAUCUCUGGCACCAAAAGCCAUCAACCAUUGGAAUCUAUUGGAAAUACUGACCCGAGGAUGAUCUCGUGAGAUGAGCUAGAUAUUUGAUGCCUCGAAAUAGACCAUCUCACUCCAUUUAAAACACAACCAAUUGCAGUACCACAACUCAUCUUUUCUGAAGCAAAAGUGAAACAAAAAAUCCUUUAAGAUUGCUACUACCACUUCAAUUGCAUCCAAGCUCCACCUGUA